RNAcentral lists this ribosomal RNA (247 nucleotides) under uncultured bacterium. RNAcentral describes it as "partial 16S ribosomal RNA". It matches the Rfam family "Bacterial small subunit ribosomal RNA", at positions 109 to 354 of the family's 1533-position model. The record is from RNAcentral.
AGUAACGCGUGAGUAACCUGCCUCAUACAACGGGAUACCUGAGGGAAACUUCAGUUAAUACGGUAUAAGACCACACUGCCGCAUGGCAGAGGGGUAAAAGGAGCAAUCCGGUAUGAGAUGGACUCGCGUCGCAUUAGCUAGUUGGUGAGGUAACGGCCCACCAAGGCGACGAUGCGUAGCCGACCUGAGAGGGUGAUCGACCACAUUGGGACUGAGAUACGGCCCAGACUCCUACGGGAGGCAGCAG